AGCCUGAUGCAGCGACGCCGCGUGAGGGAUGACGGCCUUCGGGUUGUAAACCUCUUUCAGCAGGGAAGAAGCGAAAGUGACGGUACCUGCAGAAGAAGCACCGGCUAACUACGUGCCAGCAGCCGCGGUAAUACGUAGGGUGCGAGCGUUGUCCGGAAUUAUUGGGCGUAAAGAGCUUGUAGGCGGUUUGUCGCGUCUGCUGUGAAAAUCCGGGGCUCAACCCCGGACUUGCAGUGGGUACGGGCAGACUAGAGUGUGGUAGGGGAGACUGGAAUUCCUGGUGUAGCGGUGAAAUGCGCAGAUAUCAGGAGGAACACCGAUGGCGAAGGCAGGUCUCUGGGCCACUACUGACGCUGAGAAGCGAAAGCAUGGGGAGCGAACAGGAUUAGAUACCCUGGUAGUCCAUGCCGUAAACGUUGGGCGCUAGGUGUGGGACUCAUUCCACGAGUUCCGUGCCGCAGCUAACGCAUUAAGCGCCCCGCCUGGGGAGUACGGCCGCAAGGCUAAAACUCAAAGGAAUUGACGGGG
RNAcentral lists this ribosomal RNA (528 nucleotides) under Janibacter hoylei. Its description in RNAcentral is "bacterial SSU rRNA". It matches the Rfam family "Bacterial small subunit ribosomal RNA", at positions 380 to 918 of the family's 1533-position model. The record is from RNAcentral. Lineage: Bacteria; Bacillati; Actinomycetota; Actinomycetes; Micrococcales; Intrasporangiaceae.